Molecule: transfer RNA, 70 nt
Filed under: Marmota monax (woodchuck)
Lineage: Eukaryota; Metazoa; Chordata; Mammalia; Rodentia; Sciuridae
Also listed under: 3 other names
Rfam family: tRNA
About the family: Transfer RNA (tRNA) molecules are approximately 80 nucleotides in length. Their secondary structure includes four short double-helical elements and three loops (D, anti-codon, and T loops). Further hydrogen bonds mediate the characteristic L-shaped molecular structure. tRNAs have two regions of fundamental functional importance: the anti-codon, which is responsible for specific mRNA codon recognition, and the 3' end, to which the tRNAs corresponding amino acid is attached (by aminoacyl-tRNA synthetases). tRNAs cope with the degeneracy of the genetic code in two manners: having more than one tRNA (with a specific anti-codon) for a particular amino acid; and 'wobble' base-pairing, i.e. permitting non-standard base-pairing at the 3rd anti-codon position.
Source: Rfam by way of RNAcentral
GGGGAUAUAGCUCAGUUGGUAGAAUGCUUGCCUCAUAUGCAAGUCCUGGGUUCAAUCCCCAGCACCACCA